Molecule: ribosomal RNA, 742 nt
Filed under: uncultured archaeon
Lineage: Archaea
Description: bacterial SSU rRNA
Rfam family: Archaeal small subunit ribosomal RNA
Source: RNAcentral
CCUGGCAGAGGUCACUGCUAUCGGGGUUCGAUUAAGCCAUGCGAGUCGAGAGGGUUCAGACCCUCGGCGGACUGCUCAGUAACACGUGGAUAAUCUGCCCUAUGGUGGAGGAUAACCCCGGGAAACUGGGGAUAAUACUCCAUAAGUCAGGAGUACUGGAAUGUCUCCUAACUGAAAGUUGCGGCGCCAUAGGAUGAAUCUGCGGCCGAUUAGGUAGUUGUUGGGGUAACGGCCCAACAAGCCUGUAAUCGGUACGGGUUGUGGGAGCAAGAGCCCGGAGAUGGAAUCUGAGACACGAUUCCAGGCCCUACGGGGCGCAGCAGGCGCGAAAACUUUACAAUGCAGGAAACUGUGAUAAGGGAACCCCGAGUGCCCGUAAACGCGGGCUGUCCCGGUGUUUAAAACACAUCGGAAGAUAGGGCCGGGCAAGACGGUGCCAGCCGCCGCGGUAAUACCGGCGGCUCGAGUGGUGACCACUUUUAUUGGGCUUAAAGCGUUCGUAGCUUGAUUUUUAAGUCUCUUGGGAAAUCUCACGGCUUAACUGUGAGGCGUCUAAGAGAUACUGGGAAUCUAGGGACCGGGAGAGGUAAGAGGUACUUCAGGGGUAGAAGUGAAAUUCUGUAAUCCUUGAGGGACCACCGAUGGCGAAGGCAUCUUACCAGAACGGCUUCGACAGUGAGGAACGAAAGCUGGGGGAGCGAACGGGAUUAGAUACCCCGGUAGUCCCAGCCGUAAACUAUGC